CCUUGGGUUCCUUCACCUCUAGGAAAUCUCGGGGCUUGGCUCAAUGGAGAAGCGCUUCUCGGGUCAAGCUGCCUCUCCAUCCCCGGCAUCCAGCGGAGCUGGCAUCCGAAUACAUUUCCUUCUGCUCUGCAAAGAGUCGUAGUGAACUUCCCAACCCGAGAGACUGAUCAUCUAUCCUGCUUUGCAGGAAAGGAAAUCUCUCAAACCCUCGACACCCGCCACCCCUCUCCGAAGAGUGCCACCGCGGAGGUGCUCAGAACCGGAAGGGGACGCUUUGGGAAUGACCAUGCUCUACGGAGGGACAGAGCCUGCCCCCAGCUUCUCCACACAGAGACUCCUCUACUAAAGCUCCAAAAAAAUUAAAAAG
This 367-nucleotide long non-coding RNA is filed under the name Rattus norvegicus (Norway rat). RNAcentral's name for it is "long non-coding RNA NONRATT021914". Lineage: Eukaryota; Metazoa; Chordata; Mammalia; Rodentia; Muridae. The record is from RNAcentral.